This 450-nucleotide ribosomal RNA is filed under the name uncultured bacterium. Its description in RNAcentral is "partial 16S ribosomal RNA". It matches the Rfam family "Bacterial small subunit ribosomal RNA", at positions 29 to 507 of the family's 1533-position model. The record is from RNAcentral.
AUGAACGCUGGCGGCGUGCCUAACACCUGCAAGUCGAGCGGCAGCGAGGGGUGCUUGCACCCUGUCGGCGAGCGGCGGACGGCUGAGUAGCGCGUGGGAACGUGCCCCAAAGUGAGGAAUAACUGCCCGAAAGGAUAGCUAAUACCGCAUAUUAUCUUCGGAUCAAAGGAUUUAUCCGCUUUGGGAGCGGCUCGCGUCGGAUUAGGUAGUUGGUGAGGUAAUGGCUCACCAAGCCGACGAUCCGUAGCUGGUCUGAGAGGAUGACCAGCCAGACUGGAACUGAGACACGGUCCAGACUCCUACGGGAGGCAGCAGUGAGGAAUCUUCCACAAUGGGCGAAAGCCUGAUGGAGCAACGCCGCGUGCAGGACGAAGGCCUUCGGGUUGUAAACUGCUUUUAUAAGUGAGGAAUAUGACGGUAACUUAUGAAUAAGGAUCGGCUAACUACGUG